AUCAGGCCACUGCACUCCAGCCGGGGCAACAGAGCGCAACUCCGUCUCAAAACAAACAAACAAAACAAAACAAAAAAAACUUAUAGACAAGUACAAAAUGAGAAGAAAAAGUCCCUUUCCCUUCAUGCCUCUACUUCCUGCUGUAUUCUCAAAGGUCUUGGAGGAAGGCAUCCUUCUAUUCUACUGAUCAGAAAGCUGGACAAAGUCCCACUGCCAGGCUACACAGUUGGUGCCAUUUGCGGAGGCCCACCCGCAGCGGUCACGUGAAGGACCGAGCGCCGCGCGCCCAGGCGGGGCCUCCGGCCUGCACGAGGAGGGCAGAGUCCGUUGCGGCUGCCGCCCCGACGCCCGCGCAUCCCCGCUCGCCGCGCCCGCCGCCGCGAUGUCCGGGGCCGGCCUAGCCGCGGUGGUGAGCUGCCUGCGCCCGCAGCCCGGCGAGGAGCCGCAGACCCAUGAGGACCUUCUCCUGGCAGCUGCCUAUGUUUUGGAUGCCCAGUACAACAGAAAUGUUCCAUUUGAAACUCACCUCAGGCCAUCAGACGUUACUAUUUUUAUAACCACUAGACAACGCAGGUUGCCGCAUACUUCUUUAUUUGUGUAGACCUCGCUCUUGCCCUGUUUGAAGAGUCUGAGUUGCUUCCCCUGCCUUUCUUGGCCACCUCAAUAGCAGAAGUACUCUGCCUGACUGCAUACUUUGGCAGACUGGUACAUUUUGCAAAAGUCACUCCUCAAAUGGUUUUCUGGAAGGAUACAAAAGACAUCUGCACCAUGGUAACCACAGUGCUGACCUUGAUCGAUCUGAUUAUCUGUGGGUCCCUGGAAGCUAUUAACAUCCACAGCAUCAGAUGGUCAAGGGCCUUAAGGCCGGUCUUCCUAAUUAACUUCCCUGAAAGUCGUCAGAUCUGCAGGGCUUUCCAAAGCCUCCAGAACACCCUGCCCAAUAUCCUCUAUGUCUUCUAUUGUUCAUGUUCAGUGUGCUGAUGUUCUGCCUGAUGGCCUUGAAGCUUUUUGGGAAUGGUCUGAAAACAGCAGAGGGAUCGCCUUAGUUUGAAAACAUUCUGGAGAUAGCAUUUGAGCUCUACGUGCUGGUCACUACAGCGAACAGCCCUGACAUCAUCAUGCCUGUCUAUGACUUCAACUGGUGGUAUUCUUUGUACUUUAUAAUCUACAUUAUCAUUAAUACCUACAUCUUCAAGUCUGUCUUUCUGGCCAUGGUGUACAGCAAUUAUAGGAAGCAUU
RNAcentral lists this long non-coding RNA (1239 nucleotides) under Homo sapiens (human). Its description in RNAcentral is "PREDICTED lncRNA (TCONS_00150399)". Lineage: Eukaryota; Metazoa; Chordata; Mammalia; Primates; Hominidae. The record is from RNAcentral.